RNAcentral lists this ribosomal RNA (455 nucleotides) under uncultured bacterium. RNAcentral describes it as "bacterial SSU rRNA". It matches the Rfam family "Bacterial small subunit ribosomal RNA", at positions 340 to 786 of the family's 1533-position model. The record is from RNAcentral.
UACGGGAGGCAGCAGGGGGGAAUAUUGCACAAUGGGCGCAAGCCUGAUGCAGCCAUGCCGCGUGUAUGAAGAAGGCCUUCGGGUUGUAAAGUACUUUCAGUCGUGAGGAAGGUGUUAAGGUUAAUAACCUUAGCAAUUGACGUUAGCGACAGAAGAAGCACCGGCUAACUCCGUGCCAGCAGCCGCGGUAAUACGGAGGGUGCGAGCGUUAAUCGGAAUUACUGGGCGUAAAGGGCACGCAGGCGGUUAAUUAAGUUGGAUGUGAAAUCCCCGGGCUUAACCUGGGAAUGGCAUUCAAGACUGGUUAGCUAGAGUCUUGUAGAGGGGGUUAGAAUUCCAUGUGUAGCGGUGAAAUGCGUAGAGAUGUGGAGGAAUACCGGUGGCGAAGGCGGCCCCUGGACAAAGACUGACGCUCAUGUGCGAAAGCGUGGGGAGCAAACGAGGGAUUAGAUACC